Molecule: ribosomal RNA, 1491 nt
Filed under: metagenome
Description: bacterial SSU rRNA
Rfam family: Bacterial small subunit ribosomal RNA
Source: RNAcentral
AGAGUUUGAUCCUGGCUCAGAUUGAACGCUGGCGGCAUGCCUUACACAUGCAAGUCGAACGGCAGCACGAGAGCUUGCUCUUGGUGGCGAGUGGCGAACGGGUGAGUAAUAUAUCGGAACGUACCCUAGAGUGGGGGAUAACGUAGCGAAAGUUACGCUAAUACCGCAUACGAUCUACGGAUGAAAGUGGGGGAUCGCAAGACCUCAUGCUCAUGGAGCGGCCGAUAUCUGAUUAGCUAGUUGGUGGGGUAAAAGCUCACCAAGGCGACGAUCAGUAGCUGGUCUGAGAGGACGACCAGCCACACUGGAACUGAGACACGGUCCAGACUCCUACGGGAGGCAGCAGUGGGGAAUUUUGGACAAUGGGCGCAAGCCUGAUCCAGCAAUGCCGCGUGAGUGAAGAAGGCCUUCGGGUUGUAAAGCUCUUUUGUCAGGGAAGAAACGGUGGACUCUAAUACAGAUCACUAAUGACGGUACCUGAAGAAUAAGCACCGGCUAACUACGUGCCAGCAGCCGCGGUAAUACGUAGGGUGCAAGCGUUAAUCGGAAUUACUGGGCGUAAAGCGUGCGCAGGCGGUUGUGCAAGACAGAUGUGAAAUCCCCGGGCUCAACCUGGGAAUUGCAUUUGUGACUGCACGGCUAGAGUGUGUCAGAGGGGGGUAGAAUUCCACGUGUAGCAGUGAAAUGCGUAGAGAUGUGGAGGAAUACCGAUGGCGAAGGCAGCCCCCUGGGAUAACACUGACGCUCAUGCACGAAAGCGUGGGGAGCAAACAGGAUUAGAUACCCUGGUAGUCCACGCCCUAAACGAUGUCUACUAGUUGUCGGGUCUUAAUUGACUUGGUAACGCAGCUAACGCGUGAAGUAGACCGCCUGGGGAGUACGGUUGCAAGAUUAAAACUCAAAGGAAUUGACGGGGACCCGCACAAGCGGUGGAUGAUGUGGAUUAAUUCGAUGCAACGCGAAAAACCUUACCUACCCUUGACAUGUCUGGAAUCCUUGAGAGAUCAGGGAGUGCUCGAAAGAGAAUCAGAACACAGGUGCUGCAUGGCUGUCGUCAGCUCGUGUCGUGAGAUGUUGGGUUAAGUCCCGCAACGAGCGCAACCCUUGUCAUUAGUUGCUACGAAAGGGCACUCUAAUGAGACUGCCGGUGACAAACCGGAGGAAGGUGGGGAUGACGUCAAGUCCUCAUGGCCCUUAUGGGUAGGGCUUCACACGUCAUACAAUGGUACAUACAGAGGGCCGCCAACCCGCGAGGGGGAGCUAAUCCCAGAAAGUGUAUCGUAGUCCGGAUUGUAGUCUGCAACUCGACUACAUGAAGUUGGAAUCGCUAGUAAUCGCGGAUCAGCAUGUCGCGGUGAAUACGUUCCCGGGUCUUGUACACACCGCCCGUCACACCAUGGGAGCGGGUUUCACCAGAAGUGGGUAGCCUAACCGCAAGGAGGGCGCUCACCACGGUGGGAUUCGUGACUGGGGUGAAGUCGUAACAAGGUA